This 253-nucleotide ribosomal RNA is filed under the name uncultured bacterium. RNAcentral's name for it is "partial 16S ribosomal RNA". It matches the Rfam family "Bacterial small subunit ribosomal RNA", at positions 524 to 776 of the family's 1533-position model. The record is from RNAcentral.
UACGGAGGGUGCAAGCGUUGUUCGGAAUCAUUGGGCGUAAAGCGCGUGUAGGCGGCUUGGCAAGUCAGUUGUGAAAGCCCGGGGCCCAACCCCGGAAUUGCAUCUGAAACUGCCUGGCUAGAGUCCCGGAGAGGAAGGCAGAAUUCCCGGUGUAGGGGUGAAAUCCGUAGAUAUCAGGAGGAAUACCAGCGGCGAAGGCGGCCUUCUGGACGGUGACUGACGCUGAGACGCGAAAGCGUGGGGAGCAAACAGG